UCCGACAGCUGCUCAGGUUUGGGGUCCGUGGGUUUCAAAAAGCAAAUCAACUUUGGAAAAAACAUACUAUCGUUUUUUUCCCUCGAGUCGACAGACGGGAACAGCUGUGGCCUGACAGGCAGGCCGUCUCCAUGGGAGACAAGGACAGAAGAACAGAGAGUGAGCUGCCAACUAAUUUAGGACUGGAACCGGACUCACAUAACGCAAGACAACGCCCCUAAGCAUACAGCCAAGACAACGCAGGAGUGGCUUCGGG
Long non-coding RNA from Oncorhynchus gorbuscha (pink salmon), 256 nucleotides. RefSeq lists it as uncharacterized. The transcript has 3 exons. NCBI's taxonomy places the organism in Eukaryota, Metazoa, Chordata, Actinopteri, Salmoniformes, Salmonidae. The record is from RefSeq and is a predicted model, not a curated record.